This 467-nucleotide ribosomal RNA is filed under the name uncultured bacterium. Its description in RNAcentral is "partial 16S ribosomal RNA". It matches the Rfam family "Bacterial small subunit ribosomal RNA", at positions 29 to 507 of the family's 1533-position model. The record is from RNAcentral.
ACGAACGCUGGCGGCGUGCUUAACACAUGCACGUCGAACGGAAAGGCCCUGCUUUUGUGGGGUGCUCGAGUGGCGAACGGGUGAGUAACACGUGAGUAACCUGCCCUUGACUUUGGGAUAACUUCAGGAAACUGGGGCUAAUACCGGAUAGGAGCUCCUGCUGCAUGGUGGGGGUUGGAAAGUUUCGGCGGUUGGGGAUGGACUCGCGGCUUAUCAGCUUGUUGGUGGGGUAGUGGCUUACCAAGGCUUUGACGGGUAGCCGGCCUGAGAGGGUGACCGGCCCCAUUGGGACUGAGAUACGGCCCAGACUCCUACGGGAGGCAGCAGUGGGGAAUAUUGCACAAUGGGCGGAAGCCUGAUGCAGCAACGCCGCGUGCGGGAUGACGGCCUUCGGGUUGUAAACCGCUUUCGCCUGUGACGAAGCGUGAGUGACGGUAAUGGGUAAAGAAGCACCGGCUAACUACGUG